GAGCACGUUGACUUGGGCUCUUUGACUUUUAAUCAGAGGGUCCUGGGUUCGAGUCCCAGCGCGCUCACCA
RNAcentral lists this transfer RNA (70 nucleotides) under Microvirga splendida. RNAcentral's name for it is "Microvirga sp. BT325 tRNA-Ser". It matches the Rfam family "tRNA". From Rfam's summary of the family: Transfer RNA (tRNA) molecules are approximately 80 nucleotides in length. Their secondary structure includes four short double-helical elements and three loops (D, anti-codon, and T loops). Further hydrogen bonds mediate the characteristic L-shaped molecular structure. tRNAs have two regions of fundamental functional importance: the anti-codon, which is responsible for specific mRNA codon recognition, and the 3' end, to which the tRNAs corresponding amino acid is attached (by aminoacyl-tRNA synthetases). tRNAs cope with the degeneracy of the genetic code in two manners: having more than one tRNA (with a specific anti-codon) for a particular amino acid; and 'wobble' base-pairing, i.e. permitting non-standard base-pairing at the 3rd anti-codon position. The record is from RNAcentral. Lineage: Bacteria; Pseudomonadati; Pseudomonadota; Alphaproteobacteria; Hyphomicrobiales; Methylobacteriaceae.